ACAUUGGUGGCUCAGUGGUAGAAUUCUUGCCUUUCACACAGGAGCUCCAGGUUUGAUUUCUGGGCAGUGUA
RNAcentral lists this transfer RNA (71 nucleotides) under Loxodonta africana (African savanna elephant). It matches the Rfam family "tRNA". Rfam says of the family: Transfer RNA (tRNA) molecules are approximately 80 nucleotides in length. Their secondary structure includes four short double-helical elements and three loops (D, anti-codon, and T loops). Further hydrogen bonds mediate the characteristic L-shaped molecular structure. tRNAs have two regions of fundamental functional importance: the anti-codon, which is responsible for specific mRNA codon recognition, and the 3' end, to which the tRNAs corresponding amino acid is attached (by aminoacyl-tRNA synthetases). tRNAs cope with the degeneracy of the genetic code in two manners: having more than one tRNA (with a specific anti-codon) for a particular amino acid; and 'wobble' base-pairing, i.e. permitting non-standard base-pairing at the 3rd anti-codon position. Lineage: Eukaryota; Metazoa; Chordata; Mammalia; Proboscidea; Elephantidae. The record is from Rfam by way of RNAcentral.